This 330-nucleotide ribosomal RNA is filed under the name uncultured eukaryote. Its description in RNAcentral is "partial 18S ribosomal RNA". It matches the Rfam family "Eukaryotic small subunit ribosomal RNA", at positions 1470 to 1796 of the family's 1831-position model. The record is from RNAcentral.
CCCUUAGAUGUUCUGGGCCGCACGCGCGCUACACUGACGAUGGCAACGAGUUUUUCCUUCGCCGAAAGGUGUGGGUAAUCUUUUGAAACAUCGUCGUGCUGGGGAUAGAUCAUUGCAAUUUUUGAUCUUGAACGAGGAAUUCCUAGUAGGCGCGAGUCAUGACCUCGCGUCGACUGCGUCCCUGCCCUUUGUACACACCGCCCGUCGCUACUACCGAUCGAGCGCCCUAGCGAGGUCGUCCGAUUGUCGCCGAGGCCGGCUUUCGCGAGCUGCGCAUCCGACGAAAAGGCGAUCGAACUCGAGCGCUUAGAGGAAGUAAAAGUCGUAACA